UACGUAGGGGGCAAGCGUUGUCCGGAAUUAUUGGGCGUAAAGCGCACGUAGGCGGAUUGUUAAGUCAGGGGUGAAAUCCUGGAGCUCAACUCCAGAACUGCCUUUGAUACUGGCGAUCUUGAGUCCGGGAGAGGUGAGUGGAACUGCGAGUGUAGAGGUGAAAUUCGUAGAUAUUGGGAAGAACACCGGUGGCGAAGGCGGCUCACUGGCUCAUUACUGACGCUCAGGCGCGAUAGCGUGGGGAUCAAACAGG
RNAcentral lists this ribosomal RNA (253 nucleotides) under uncultured bacterium. Its description in RNAcentral is "partial 16S ribosomal RNA". It matches the Rfam family "Bacterial small subunit ribosomal RNA", at positions 524 to 776 of the family's 1533-position model. The record is from RNAcentral.